RNAcentral lists this ribosomal RNA (255 nucleotides) under uncultured bacterium. Its description in RNAcentral is "partial 16S ribosomal RNA". It matches the Rfam family "Bacterial small subunit ribosomal RNA", at positions 99 to 354 of the family's 1533-position model. The record is from RNAcentral.
CGGACGGGUGAGUAACGCGUGGAUAACCUGCCUUUCACAGGGGGAUAACAGCUGGAAACGGCUGCUAAUACCGCAUGAGCCUCUUUUGUCGCAUGAGGAGAGAGGGAAAGAGAAAUCGGUGAGAGAUGGAUCCGCGUCCGAUUAGCUAGUUGGAGGGGUAACAGCCCACCAAGGCGACGAUCGGUAGCCGACCUGAGAGGGUGGACGGCCACAUUGGGACUGAGACACGGCCCAAACUCCUACGGGAGGCAGCAG